Molecule: ribosomal RNA, 433 nt
Filed under: uncultured bacterium
Lineage: Bacteria
Description: partial 16S ribosomal RNA
Rfam family: Bacterial small subunit ribosomal RNA
Source: RNAcentral
AACGAACGCUGGCGGCAGGCCUAACACAUGCAAGUCGAGCGAGGACUUCGGUCCUAGCGGCGGACGGGUGAGUAACGCGUGGGAACGUGCCCUUUGCUUCGGAAUAGCCCUGGGAAACUGGGAGUAAUACCGGAUGAGCCCUUUGGGGGAAAGAUUUAUCGGCGAAGGAUCGGCCCGCGUUGGGUUAGGUAGUUGGUGGGGUAAUGGCCUACCAAGCCGACGAUCCAUAGCUGGUUUGAGAGGAUGAUCAGCCACACUGGGACUGAGACACGGCCCAGACUCCUACGGGAGGCAGCAGUGGGGAAUCUUAGACAAUGGGGGAAACCCUGAUCUAGCCAUGCCGCGUGAGCGAUGAAGGCCUUAGGGUUGUAAAGCUCUUUCAGCUGGGAAGAUAAUGACGGUACCAGCAGAAGAAGCCCCGGCUAACUCCGUG